This 253-nucleotide ribosomal RNA is filed under the name uncultured bacterium. RNAcentral's name for it is "partial 16S ribosomal RNA". It matches the Rfam family "Bacterial small subunit ribosomal RNA", at positions 100 to 353 of the family's 1533-position model. The record is from RNAcentral.
CGGGGUGAGUAACGCGUGGGUAACCUGCCUCAUACAGGGGGAUAACAGUUAGAAAUGACUGCUAAUACCGCAUAAGCGCACAGUGCUGCAUGGCACAGUGUGAAAAACUCCGGUGGUAUGAGAUGGACCCGCGUCUGAUUAGCUAGUUGGUGGGGUAACGGCCUACCAAGGCGACGAUCAGUAGCCGGCCUGAGAGGGUGAACGGCCACAUUGGGACUGAGACACGGCCCAAACUCCUACGGGAGGCAGCAUG